GACGAACGCUGGCGGCGUGCUUAACACAUGCAAGUCGAGCGGUAACAGGCGUAGCAAUACGUGCUGACGAGCGGCGGACGGGUGAGUAACGCUUAGGAAUCUACCUAGUAGUGGGGAACGAACCCGGGAAACGUCGGCGUAAUACCGCAUACGCCCUCCGGGGAAGCGGGGAGUCGCAAGACCUCGCGCUAUUGGAUGAGCCUAAGUCGGAUUAGCUAGUUGGUAGGGUAACGGCC
RNAcentral lists this ribosomal RNA (236 nucleotides) under uncultured bacterium. Its description in RNAcentral is "partial 16S ribosomal RNA". It matches the Rfam family "Bacterial small subunit ribosomal RNA", at positions 28 to 265 of the family's 1533-position model. The record is from RNAcentral.